AGAUUGAACGCUGGCGGCAUGCCUAACACAUGCAAGUCGAACGGGAGUAGCAAUACUCUAGUGGCGGACGGGUGAGGAAUACGUAGGAAUUUGCCCUUAAGUGGGGGAUAACCCGGGGAAACCCGGAUUAAUACCGCAUGACCUCGAAAGAGCAAAGUGGGGGAUCGCAAGACCUCACGCUUUUGGAGAAGCCUACGUCGGAUUAGCUAGUUGGUGAGGUAAUGGCUCACCAAGGCGACGAUCCGUAACUGGUCUGAGAGGAUGAUCAGUCACACCGGAACUGAGACACGGUCCGGACUCCUACGGGAGGCAGCAGUGGGGAAUUUGGACAAUGGGCGAAAGCCUGAUCCAGCAAUGCCGCGUGCAGGAAAGAAAGGCCUUCGGUUGUAAACGUAG
This 396-nucleotide ribosomal RNA is filed under the name uncultured soil bacterium. RNAcentral describes it as "bacterial SSU rRNA". It matches the Rfam family "Bacterial small subunit ribosomal RNA", at positions 26 to 435 of the family's 1533-position model. The record is from RNAcentral.